Molecule: RNA transcript, 1321 nt
Organism: Oncorhynchus gorbuscha (pink salmon)
Lineage: Eukaryota; Metazoa; Chordata; Actinopteri; Salmoniformes; Salmonidae
Gene name: acyl-coenzyme A thioesterase 11
Exons: 6
Source: RefSeq, a predicted model, not a curated record
CCAGGGUUGCCUACCCCUGUCCUGUGGGGACAGCCGAAGAACCCUUUUGGAAAACUUUUUUUCUAAGAGUGUAGGUACACACGCACACCUUACUAACCCUCUCUUUCUCUCUCUCCAGUCGUUUGUGUGACCGCUUCCCUUCGGAGGUCUGUAGACAUGUUCCGCUCUCUCAGACUGGUCUUUAAGGCUGUGGUCAACAACACAUUUAACAACAGUAUUGAGGUAGGUGUCCUGAGUGGAGGCCUGUAACUGUGAGGAGUGGACCGCGAACAAAGCGCAUCAACACAUCAACAGCGCCUCCCUCAUCUACCAGCUGUCUAACACACCUGGAGACGUACCUGCCUGUCCCUCAAGUCACAUACACAAACAAGGACUGGGAGAGGAGAUACCUGUCUGCCAUCGUAAGGAAGAUAAUUAUUGAUGGCUAGAAAGCACACCCUGUCCUGUAAGGGGGAGGCUCCUAUCUCUGUCCCCCGGGAUAAAAGGAACCAGGUGUAUCUGGGUUUUAACAAUGUAGCAGCUCUGACUGUACUGACUGGGGAAACCAGACUGGGGAAGCCAGGGGCAUCAAUGACAGGAUCGGUGUGUUUGUCCAUGAGGAGGAGCUGCUUUGUGUCCCAAGUUCAGAUGGUCAUGACCUCUGCCCUCCAUGCCUUCACCCUAUUGGCUGACCUCACACUGCGACCUCUUUGGGGGACAUUAUCUCUGUGAGGAGGUAGAGGGGGCCGAUGAGGAGACGGUGUACCACAUUAAAUGCCCUCCCCCAUCAACGGAGGCAAGAGCCCGAGACUUCGUGUUCCCGUUGUCAAAGAGACAGUCCUGCAACGAGUAAAGGGACCCCUAUGUGCUAGGCCUGAGGUCUGUAACCGUGGAAACAUCUCCCCCCCUGACCUCACCUUCUGGACGAUAGCGGGGUGAACAGGCAGUGGCUCGGGUGGUUGUUGUCCUUGACGAUCGUUAGCCGUCACAAUUCAGAGACAAUGUGUUAAAACCAUGUGUUCCAGGUGUGUUACCACAGCCUGGUGGCGUCAGACGUGUUGCCGCAUGUAGCAUGUAACAUGUAGCAUGUAACCUGGCAGGCUGGUCUGAGUCUAUGGAGGAGACGGCUAGCACACGUACCACCUUCCUGGAGAGACACCACACACACACACUAAACCGGAGCCUGAUGGUUGAAUUGAUACUAUAUGGAGACUCGUGAUUCUAACGAGACAAAACGCGUCUCCAGUCGAGCGGCUGCUAAUACAGGCGUCCAAUUUACAACGGACGGUGUUUCCGAAUGACCCGAAAUGCCUUGGUCACAGCAAAUGUAGGUCAUGUAAUG